Long non-coding RNA from Oryctolagus cuniculus (rabbit), 2005 nucleotides. RefSeq lists it as uncharacterized. NCBI's taxonomy places the organism in Eukaryota, Metazoa, Chordata, Mammalia, Lagomorpha, Leporidae. The record is from RefSeq and is a predicted model, not a curated record.
CUGGACAAACAAAUGAAAAAAAAAUGGAGCUCUUAAUCUUAGGAGCUGGGGGAGGAAGCUUCAGGGAGGAAACGCAAACCACCCGCAAGAGCUUGAUGCUCCCCUGCUGCCCCUCUCUCUGCACAGGGACGCGAGGUCCUGUGGGCCAGGAAUCGAACUUUCAGCUGAGGUGUCUGAGGGAGCUGCACAGACUCACCCCUUAAGUGUUUGAAAAGCCGCACGCUGCAUUCCGCUGCUCACAAAGGCAAUGCAGCAACAGCAGGAGCAGCCGGAGCUACAGCUGCUGCUGGGUGAUUCUCACCAGAACAGGAGGCGGACUAGAAGUGGAAGGACAGGAAACUAAUACAGUGAUGAAACCAAUGAUUCUCUUGGACUACAAACAAUAUACUAUUCACUUCUGAAUACGACCUGAGACCAUUCCCAGAAGGUCACAACAAUCAACACAUAACAUUUCUGCAACUCAAAGGUGUGACAACAUCUCACCCCCAGCAAGCAAACAGCCUAUUCUGCAACAUAUCCCUGCUGGACGUCCUCUUAUUCAAUUCAGUCCUGAGACUAUCCACCUGGAGUUAGGAUUCAAUCUCCAAGAUUUCCCCUUCUCACGACAGAGGUCAAUUGAAAACCCCAGGUUGUUUUUGAUUUGUGCUUCUGACUUAUAGGCUAUAAAUUGGUUGUCUUUAACUUCCUCUCUGGCUUUAUUUUGCUAGUACGUUUCACAGAGCUCAGGAAAGUGUUUAGAUCUGCAAGUAUAUAAUAAAAAUAUUACAAAGCAUACAAGGCAAGGUGACCUCUCUAAGUGUUCCACUCUUCAGGAACCCACAAGUGUGCAGUUAUGUGGAAGCUCUCUAAACCCUAUCCUUUUGGAAUUUUGGAGACCUCAUAGCAUAGACAUGAUUGCUAACAGACUGAGUAGGGAAACCCAGCAACACUUAUCUCUUCAAAUUCUUCAUCACUCUUACCUCACAAAUAUGGAAACUCUCUGGAAUGAGAAGGGUCUUCUGACCUAUUAUCAGACAAAGGUAGGGCAGAGAAAUCCUUCAAGGCCAGCUAAUGGUGGAGGAAGAUUAGUUUCUAUUACUCACCUUGAGGAAGAAAGACCCUAGUUUCUAUGGGCUGCCUUGAGGAGGGAAUUCAGGAAUUGUGAAUGAAAAUCAAAUUGUUAAUUUCACAAUAUCACACUAUCUCUCCUAACUUAAAUGUAAGGAUGAUAUAAUCUGUUUUACUCACUCGUGUAUGUCCAGAACCUUGAAGAGUUUUGGUAUACACAAUCAGUAGGCAUGGUCCAGUUACUAUGCUGCAUAAAAUUGCAAAAGCUAGUGGCAUAAAUUAAUCCUACAAUUCUGUGGUUCAAGUUUCUAGCAGGGCAUAUCAGGAUUGGCCGUUUCUUGCUCUCCAAUGUGUGGAGUUUCAGCUGGAAUGGAUCAGAAUGAACCAGAGGGGCCAGCACUGUGGCAUAGCGUGUAAAGCUGCAGCCUGAAAUGCCGACAUCCCACAUGGGUGCCAGUUCAAGACCCAGCUGCUCCACUUCUGACCCAGCUCUCUGCUAUAGCUUGGGAAGACAGUGGAGGAUGGCCCGAGUACCUGGAACCCAACCUUCUGGCUUCAGAUCAGCCAAGCUCAGGCAAUUUCAGCCACUUGAGGAGUGAACCAGUGGAUGGAGGAUCGAUCGAUCUCUCUCUCUCUCUCUCUCUCUCUGCCUCUGCCUCUCUGUAACUCUGCCUUUCAAAUAAAUAAAUCUUUAAAAAACAUAAACCAGAAUGAUAAGUGUGUUUUGUUCACUUAUAAUAAUACAGGGAAAUCAGUCAGAGACCCUAGUUCUUCUUCAUAUGGUGCUCUCCAAGGAUUCUUCACAACAUAGAAACUGGGUUCCAUGAGAAUGCAAUUAGGGACUGUUGUGUGAUAAAGGGUGUCAUUCAGAAUUCUUUUCUACCUUAUCUUAUUGGCUAAAGAAGUCAGACACCAAGACCAAGGGAAUAAAGAGAAAAAAACUGUACCUCCUAAUAGA